RNAcentral lists this long non-coding RNA (1470 nucleotides) under Daphnia pulicaria. Its description in RNAcentral is "uncharacterized LOC124313637, transcript variant X3". The record is from RNAcentral. Lineage: Eukaryota; Metazoa; Arthropoda; Branchiopoda; Diplostraca; Daphniidae.
UAAGGGUCUUUUUCUGCAUUGAAGCAAAUGAGUGACAUGCAAAUGACAAACUAUCGUUCACUCAUUUUGCCAAACUUUAACAAAGGAGGUGAGGUAAACCAAACCCUGACCAAACGUACUUGACCUGAGUACCAGCCCACCAGAGAUGCAUGUAGAUGGUGAAAUGCUGAAUCUCAAAAAUUCCAAGAACUUCAUUUCACCGAAUCGACUUUCUUUUCCAAUUUAAAUGGCCACUGGUGAGUUGCAGUUAAGCCUAAUUAUGUAGCCUAAUACUAUAGAGAAUAGACAAAUUUUUUGGAGCUUGGUUCAUGCGAGCUUCGACAGAAUUCUAGCAGUUGGCUGUUUUAUCGAAAUGAGAAAACAUGCACAUUCAAAUUCUCACAGCAUCACAUAGACUGUGUGUUUGACACAACUGCUGAUAACACCAAGUGGAAAAUUUGUUUUGAAUUUUAAAUGAUAAACACUUUCUUUUGUUCUACAUCAUCUCAGGUAUGAGCUCUGAGACUAUGCAUUCUCUUGUUUCUUUAAAAUCUUGUAAAAUGUCCUCAUCCACAAAUUAUCUCCUAAAAUCUUCAUUAUCAUUCAAAUCUGCAUUAGGUUGCUGUUACAGUAAAUAUGAUCCAGUGAAAUAUUCCUCAGUCGAUUUCAUGUCUUUUAUGUGUUAUCAUCAAUUAUCUUUAGAAAUACAGUGUUCAUUCCAACACUUCAUUCCAUUGCCAACGCACAAGAUGUAAGUUUCUGAAUGGAAGUAAAAAGUUUUAUCUAGAUUGGAAUUGAUUUGCUACUAAUAAUUGGAACUGAUUUUCAACAGUGAAAGUGCGUGAUCAAGAUAAUGCCGCUAAUAAGCAACGGCGAAACAGACAACAACUAGGACGAAAAUGGGGAGGAACUUCAUCUAUUAGCGUUUUCGAUGGGAUCUGAGCUUCUGUAGAUGUGGAUCGUCAACUGCGACAGGGCCACCAUUUUAUAGUCAUUAUCACCAGUCGACAUAAUGAUUGUUGGCUUCACGAGUCAUCUUGAUCACGAUUCUUUGGCAAGGCGCGAAUGCGGUUGGAAGUGCCUCAUCCCCAAAUUAUCUCCUAAAAUCUUCACCCUGUAGGUUUCACCGUUUCAGAUUACGAAAGAAAAGAUGGCUUUUUCUAACAUUUUGUGCUUCAAAAACUCGUGUACAGUUCCCCUUUGCCUGAAGGAUAUGCUGUCUUGGACCAACAUUCACCAAAAUGUAAGUUUUUGAAUGGAAAAAAAGUUUUCUCUUUGAAUGUAUUUGUAGCUAAUGGAAACUGAUUUUCAACUGAGAAAGCGGUAAGACAAUGCUUCUUAUGUGUGUAUUCUAAUAACAUCAGACCAAAUUAUUUAUUAUAGAAGGAAAAGCUGGAAAAAAGAUACAUCUUAUUAUAGGGAUACUGUUUCAAAUAAAAGAAAACUUAAGGAUUAAAUUGGCUACUCAGUGAAUCAGAGAAUAGUGGUUGG